GACGAACGCUGGCGGCGUGCUUAACACAUGCAAGUCGAACGGAAAGGCCCUGCUUGCAGGGUACUCGAGUGGCGAACGGGUGAGUAACACGUGGGUGAUCUGCCCUGCACUUCGGGAUAAGCCUGGGAAACUGGGUCUAAUACCGGAUAGGAGCCAUUUUUAGUGUGAUGGUUGGAAAGUUUUUUCGGUGUAGGAUGAGCUCGCGGCCUAUCAGCUUGUUGGUGGGGUAAUGGCCUACCAAGGCGGCGACGGGUAGCCGGCCUGGGUGGGUGGACGGCCACAUUGGGACUGAGAUACGGCCCAGACUCCUACGGGAGGCAGCAGUGGGGAAUAUUGCACAAUGGGCGCAAGCCUGAUGCAGCGACGCCGCGUGGGGGAUGACGGCCUUCGGGUUGUAAACUCCUUUCGCUAGGGACGAAGCUUUUUGUGACGGUACCUAGAUAAGAAGCACCGGCUAACUACGUG
RNAcentral lists this ribosomal RNA (465 nucleotides) under uncultured bacterium. RNAcentral describes it as "partial 16S ribosomal RNA". It matches the Rfam family "Bacterial small subunit ribosomal RNA", at positions 28 to 507 of the family's 1533-position model. The record is from RNAcentral.